This is a long non-coding RNA of Xyrauchen texanus (razorback sucker), 687 nucleotides long. RefSeq lists it as uncharacterized. The record is from RefSeq and is a predicted model, not a curated record. The transcript has 3 exons. NCBI's taxonomy places the organism in Eukaryota, Metazoa, Chordata, Actinopteri, Cypriniformes, Catostomidae.
ACCGAACCAGACGAACUAAUCAUUUCUCUUUCCGGUACUGACAGCAGCAUAGUCUCUAUGGGACUGACAGGAAGAACGAAAGACUCGGACCCGGCCGAACCCGAAGACUCGCGAAAGAUGAACUAAUCAUUUAUGACUUCAUGUACCUUAUGCGAUGUUGCGCGCAUGCGCGGUCAACACAAAAUGAACGAAUCACUCUCUGAGACAACUCGGUAGUCCCGAGUCAUAUUAAAGAUUCGUUCAAAAUGAACGAAUCGUUCAUGAACGACACAUCACUACUACUGUGGACUUCGACCGAAAACAGGAAGAAAAUACGGCCCUAGACACAGGAGCAAGAUCGGAGCAGGACCAGGGGGAGAGCAGUGGGACCAGUGAGACCAGUGAGUGGAUCACCCUGAUGAAACGACUCAGGCCCUCUGCAGAGAACAUUCCUUCAAUCAAAUCAGCAAUGGAGAAUACAUACACCAGGCGCAGAUCAUGGAUAUCAAAGGCAACUCCUACAUUGACUGAAAUCUUCAACGAAUACCCACGCUUCUUGGAUAUGCCAAGUUUGAUGGAUAUCGAGUUUGGCAAAAUAACAGAUGGAAAGUCAGACCAGUUCAUCAGAAAAUGGGAAGCGACCAUCAUUCCAAAGCUGAGAGCAUUGGCUGCCUUGGAAAAAGGUGGUGUUGCUUCACUUACGGAGGG